UACGAAGGGGGCUAGCGUUGCUCGGAAUCACUGGGCGUAAAGGGUGCGUAGGCGGGUCUUUAAGUCAGGGGUGAAAUCCUGGAGCUCAACUCCAGAACUGCCUUUGAUACUGAAGAUCUUGAGUCCGGGAGAGGUGAGUGGAACUGCGAGUGUAGAGGUGAAAUUCGUAGAUAUUCGCAAGAACACCAGUGGCGAAGGCGGCUCACUGGCCCGGUACUGACGCUGAGGUGCGAAAGCGUGGGGAGCAAACAGG
This 253-nucleotide ribosomal RNA is filed under the name uncultured bacterium. RNAcentral's name for it is "partial 16S ribosomal RNA". It matches the Rfam family "Bacterial small subunit ribosomal RNA", at positions 524 to 776 of the family's 1533-position model. The record is from RNAcentral.